UGCUCACUGCUCUUUAUAGGACGUCCCAGGCUGUGGACAUGCCAACUGAGACAUGCAGCAUUUGGGAUCAGCUUUGUACUUUGUGUAUCAUGCAUCCUGGUGAAAACCAUUGUGGUUCUGGCUGUGUUCAAGGCCUCCAAGCCAGGAGGUGGAGCCCAUCUGAAGUGGUUUGGACCACUGCAGCAGAGAGGAACAGUUCUGGUUCUUACUUCUAUUCAGGAAGCAAUCUGAACUGCUUGGCUUGUCUCUUCCUCACCAGCUCCUCAUAAAAACACUCAAUACCACAAUGACAAGAUAGUUUAUGAGUGUGUAGUUGGGUCCACAAUUGGUUUUGGAGUGUUACUGGGUUAUAUUGGCUUACUGGCCAUCCUCAGUUGUCUGAUUGCAUUUCUCGCCAGGAAUCUUCCAGAUACUUUCAAUGAGGCCAAACUCAUUACUUUCAGCAUGCUGAUCUUCUGUGCAGUGUGGGUGGCCUUUGUCCCUGCUUAUGUCAGUUCACCAGGCAAAUAUGCAGAUGCAGUUGAGGUAUUUGCCAUCCUAGCAUCCAGUUUUGGCCUCUUGGUGUCACUGUUUGGACCCAAAUGUUACAUUAUCCUGUUGAGACCAGAGAGGAACACAAAGAAAGCGAUCAUGGGUCGUGGCAUUGAGUCAUAAAACCUGCACUUAGUUUCAUAAGACAGAAUUAAUCAAUCUUCUCUGUACAGUACAAAAAUACAGGCAGAAAAAUAGGUUAAGAGUAGUAGCAAUGUUCAAUUACUAAGAAAAAAUGGCUAAUAAUGAACUCAAAUACAAGAAGUUAUUUUUUUUCCCAGGAUACAGUUUAAAGUACAAAGCACUUGCACUUCAAAUAUUAUCGCCUUUGCGACUUUUUGUGGUGAAUGGUAACGGUACACCUUAUUAAAUAACAACUUACUUUCUCAGAAAAAAAGCUGACACUAUAUGGGUUUAUCCCACAUUAUUAUAUGCAUUUAGUCUUGACCUGUCUGAAGCAGAUGUUGAUUUUUUUUCACAGACACAAAGUCAGUCUUUUAAAGAAGCAGUAAUCUGUAGCUUCCUAAGUACAGUAUAAAGGAAUUGCAGACAAUGUUGAUAGAAUAGCACAGUACCAAAUGAAAGCAUCUGAGAUGCUGGCUGUGAUAGCAUUUGCCUAUUCUGACUAUAUAGAGCCUCUAACUCUCACUAAGUUAGCAGUUGUAAGAAUGGCACUGUCACAAGGUUAGAAAGCUCAUGUUUACAACAUAGAAUGAGAUUUACAAAUUCUAUGUUCUAUUUAACACCAGCUUUGCUGUCUCUAUAAGCAUAAUAAGGUUAGAGUUAUAUACCCUACUUACUGUUUUAAUGUUGGCAUUAUGUCUGAUAUCAGUUAUUAUGCUUAGUAUCCAUGCCACAGAACUUCACGAUUAUUUUAAAGCAAUUGCAAUGCACAAGAGACUUGGUGAUCAUAAGCUGAAGACUACUUCUUUAUUUCCAUGAACAUCACCAGUGUCCUUUUUCAUUUUUUAAAUAAUUCAAUUAUUGCAUUUUUACCCUGAAGAGUAGCUCUGCAGAUGUAUGAAAUGAUUUUCAUGCAACAAUUGAGCAUAGUGGCUGGGGGGGACAGGCCAUUUGUUGCUUAUAGCAAGCUUAUAUCCAUCCACCAGCAUUUGAAUUCUAAUGUAAACUUCUAGCCACUGAUGAAAUGGAGAAGUGGGAUAACCAGUUCUGUGGAAGAGGCUGAAUACAUAAAAGUUUACAGUGUUCUGAAUGUUAUUUUUGUGUUUGUGUGUGUUUGUUUUGUAGCAGCAUAGAGGUGUUUAUCCUUUGUGAUUUGCCACUGUUUAUAAUGAGCGCCGCUGGUGGCCGCUGAUGAGGUGGGCCAGUAUAAAAGCGGCAGUUCACCCACCAGUUCUUCCUUUGCGCCUCUGUCACCUCUGUCACUUCCGGGUCAGCGGUCAUUUGAUCCGACAGGGCGACUGCCUGUGUGCUGCUCCGGCCCCCCCUGUAUGCGCUGCUGCGUGUGUCUGUGGUAAAUGCUGGUGGCUGCCAGGGGUCCUCUCUCCCUCCCUCCUCUCGUGAGUGUGUCCAUCGCUGCUAAAAAGUGGCUGGAGGCCGGUGGUGGCGGUGUUGGUGAUCUGGUGUUGGCACCCUUCUGUCUUGUCUGCUGUGUUCCUGGGAGUGGGUUACUUCACUGAGUGUGUGUCUGCCAUGUGUGUCUGGUGAUAGAAAUUGACUUCUGUUUUUUUUUUUUUUUUGGUGGAUCCUUCCCCUGCACUAGGCCCCGUCCAUCAACUAGGCCUCAGCCCUGAUUAGUUUCUUUUUCCCCUCCCUAUGUGACAUUUUAAUUACGGCUUUUACCCAGUUUGUUUAAUAAAACGUAUUUUUUAUCAAUUGGAA
This is a non-coding RNA of Epinephelus lanceolatus (giant grouper), 2373 nucleotides long. Lineage: Eukaryota; Metazoa; Chordata; Actinopteri; Perciformes; Serranidae. The record is from RefSeq and is a predicted model, not a curated record.